This 239-nucleotide ribosomal RNA is filed under the name uncultured bacterium. RNAcentral's name for it is "partial 16S ribosomal RNA". It matches the Rfam family "Bacterial small subunit ribosomal RNA", at positions 92 to 334 of the family's 1533-position model. The record is from RNAcentral.
CGAGUGGCGGACGGGUGAGUAAUGUCUGGGAAACUGCCUGAUGGAGGGGGAUAACUACUGGAAACGGUAGCUAAUACCGCAUAACGUCGCAAGACCAAAGAGGGGGACCUUCGGGCCUCUUGCCAUCGGAUGUACCCAGAUGGGAUUAGCUAGUAGGUGGGGUAACGGCUCACCUAGGCGACGAUCCCUAGCUGGUCUGAGAGGAUGACCAGCCACACUGGAACUGAGACACGGUCCAG